This 2934-nucleotide ribosomal RNA is filed under the name Patescibacteria group bacterium. Its description in RNAcentral is "partial 23S ribosomal RNA". It matches the Rfam family "Bacterial large subunit ribosomal RNA", at positions 1227 to 2925 of the family's 2925-position model. The record is from RNAcentral.
GGUAGAGGAGUAUUUCAUACGCGUUGAAGCUGAACCGCGAGGUUUUGUGCAGUGUAUGGAAGUAAGAAUGUUGGCAUGAGUAGCAGAAAUCCCAAUGAGAAAUUGGGACACCGAAAGCCUAAGGUUUCCUGGGCAAUGAAAAUCAACUCAGGGUUAGUCGGUCCUAAGGCGAGGUCUGUGUAGUGCAGACGUAGUCGAUGGAUGAGCUGAUUAAUAUUUCAGCACUACUGUAAUUUUCCGAUGGAGUAACGCAUUUCAAAAGUUUAAGCGUAUUUAUGAUAUGUGCGUUGAUUGCUUUGAGAAAUGAUCUAGGUAAAUCCGGGUCAAUAAUUUCAAGGAGUUGUCAAAAGACAAAGCUGCAAGGUGGAGUCAAUUUAGAUAAAAGAAAUGCCAAGAAAAACUUCUAGGGCUAAAAUUAUAGUAACCGUACCGCAAACCGACACAGGUAGGCAGGGCGAGAAGCCCAAGGUGAACGAGAGAACCUUCGUUAAGGAACUCGGCAAAAUAGUGGCCGUAAUUUAGAGAUAAGGCCUCCCCUCCCCAGUUUUCACAAAUAUUAUUUGUGAAAACUGGGGAGGGGCGCAGCUAAAGAACCCAAGCGACUGUUUAUCAAAAACACAGCUCCCUGCUAACUCGAAAGAGGAUGUAUAGGGGGUGACGCCUGGCCAGUGUCCGAACGUUAAAGGGAGAGGUCAACUGUGCGUAGCACAGAAAUUCCAAUAACCAAGAUACAAGAUACAAAUAAAUUACAAUAUUCAAAUUACAAAUUUCAAAUAAAAUUUUGAUAUUUGAACUUUGGAAUUUGAAAUUUGUUUGUAUCCUUGUAUCUUGUAUCUUGGAAUUUCUGCGCUGCGCGCGGUGAAGCUUUGAACUGAAGCGCGGAUGAACGCCGGCGAUAACUAUGAUCGUCCUAAGGUUCUGUAAUUUAUUCUGUUAAAUUCUGAUAAAUUACAGAAGGACUGGGACGAUUAUAAAAAAAUUCGCUACCUAACUAUAAUGAAAAUUAUAUGUUGUCUAAAAAUACCCAGUAAAAUGCGUGGAAAUCUUCAAAAGAUUUUUAGUACCCCUCCCCAGUUCCUCUUCAGCUUUCGAAAGCUGAAGAGGAACUGGGGAGGGGUAAAAAUCUAAAAAUACAUGGAGGCAAUACGCAGGAUUGAUUAAAAUUAAUCAAUCCUCAGAGACUUAACACUGGGGUCCGUAAAAUAUGAAUAUAAAUCCUAAUUGGGUAAGUUCAUAUUAGGACAAGAUAAAGUCCAUGCUUAAUAGAAAUAUUAAGAAGGUGCAGAGCGAAAUUCCUUGUCGGGUAAGUUCCGACCCGCACGAAUGGCGUAACGACUUGGGUACUGUCUCAACGAAGGACUCGGCGAAAUUGCAAGGCGAGUAAAGAUGCUCGCUAAUCAUAGUUGGACGAAAAGACCCCAUGAAGCUUUACUACAGCUUGACAUUGAAUUUGGGGUGUGCAUGUUCAGAAUAGGUGGGAGUCCGCCGAUUCGGCGGACAUCAGUGAGAUACCACUCUUGUAUAUUUUUAAUUCUAACCCUGACCCUUUAUUAGAUACGAAAUAUUUUUCGUGUUUAAUACAGGGUCGGGAACAGUGUCUGGUGGGUAGUUUGUCUGGGGCGGAUGCCUCAUAAAAAGUAACUGAGGCGUUUACUAAGGUUGGCUAUCCUGGGAUGGAAAUCCAGGAGAUAGUGUAAAGGCACAAGCCAGCUUUACUGCAAGACCUGCAAGUCGAGCAGUUGCGAAAGCAGAACUUAGUGAUCCGACCGUGCGAUAUAGGACGGCGGAAGCUCAUCGGAUAAAAGCUACUCUGGGGAUAACAGGCUAGUCACGCCCAAGCGUCCACAGCGACGGCGUGGUUCGGCACCUUAACAUAUCGGGGUGCCAUCUCGAGUAAUCGAGUGAAUAAAUUUGGCUAAUAACGGUGAACUCCAUAAUUAAUCUAUGGCCUAGAAUAAAAUUAUGGACAAUACCGUGGGAAGUCCAUUUCGGACAUCGGAUUUCUGAUGUCAGAUGUCGGAUUAUAAAAAAUAUAAAAUCCGAAUUCUGAUUUCUGAAAUCCGAUUUCCGAUCUGUGACCCCGUAGAGACUUAUUCUAAUUUUUAGAAUAGAUAGUAUUUAUUACAUUAGUUAUAAAAUAAAAUUUACAAUGCUAUAAUACGCCAACCCCCGCCGUUCUCGCGAGCAGCGGGGUGAAAAUAUAGUCCAUACCAUUAGUAAUAAUGGAACGAUAUACGAUGUCGGCUCGUCGCAUCCUGGGGGUGAAGAAGCUCCCAAGGGUUUGGCUGUUCGCCAAUUAAAGCGGCACGCGAGCUGGGUUCAGACCGUCAAUUUGGCGGCUUUCCCGAGUAAUCGGGAUUGAAAAAGUCGACUCAUAUCGGUGAAAUUCUAAUAUAAAAUAUUUGCAAUUUAACCUGUCAUAUAUUAGAAUAAUACCGAGGGAAGUUAAUUAUGUCUAAGAAAAUUACACCAAAUCAAAAAGCUUAUAAAGAGAAAGAGACAUAAUUUAACCCCGUAGAGACUGAUCCUUAAAUGGAGAGGGCAUGAUAUUUUUAAGUCAUGUCAACACGUCGACCCCCUAACAGGUGUUUAGGGUGAUGGUAUAGUCCAUGCACUUAGUAAUAAGUGACUAAUUAUAAAAUGCGUAAGACAGGUCGGUCUCCUAUCCACUAUGAUCGUGGAAACUUGAGGAGUCCCUUUCCUAGUACGAGAGGACCGGAAAGGACAAAGCUCUAGUGUACCAGCUGUUCCAUCAGGGGCAUUGUUGGGUAGCUACCUUUGGUUAGGAUAAGCGCUGAAAGCAUCUAAGCGCGAAGCCGUCUCCAAGAUUAGGUUUCAUAGGCUGGUUAUAGACUAUAACCUUGAUAGGCUCUAAGUGUAAGCAUGGUAACAUGUUCAGCUGAAGAGUACUAAUAAGCCAUUUAAUUUUCCCAC